RNAcentral lists this ribosomal RNA (253 nucleotides) under uncultured bacterium. RNAcentral's name for it is "partial 16S ribosomal RNA". It matches the Rfam family "Bacterial small subunit ribosomal RNA", at positions 524 to 776 of the family's 1533-position model. The record is from RNAcentral.
UACGGGGGGGGCAAGCGUUGUUCGGAAUUACUGGGCGUAAAGGGCUCGUAGGCGGCCAACUAAGUCAGACGUGAAAUCCCUCGGCUUAACCGGGGAACUGCGUCUGAUACUGGAUGGCUUGAGGUUGGGAGAGGGAUGCGGAAUUCCAGGUGUAGCGGUGAAAUGCGUAGAUAUCAAGAGGAACACCAGUGGCGAAGGCGAGUCCCUGGACAAACCCUGACACUGAGGCACGAAAGCCAAGGGAGCAAACAGG